CUACGGGAGGCAGCAGGCGCGAAACCUUUACACUGCACGCAAGUGCGAUAAGGGAAUCCUAAGUGAAUGCGUUCUACGUAUUCUUUUGCCAAGAGUAAAUACCUUGGGGAAUAAGGGGUGGGAAAGACUGGUGCCAGCCGCCGCGGUAACCCCAGCGCCCCAAGUGGGAAUCAUGUUUAUUGGGCCUAAAGCGUUCGUAGCCGGCUUUGUAAGUUCUCUGUGAAAUCGUUGCGCUUAACGUAACGACGUGCUGGGAAUACUGCAAAGCUUGGGACCGGGAAGGGCUAGAGGUAUUCUGGGGGGACCGGUAAAAUGGUAUAAUCCCCAGAGGACCAUCUGUGGCGAAGGCGUCUAGCUAGAACGGGUCCGACGGUGAGGGACGAAAGCCAGGGGAGCAAACGGGAUUAGAUACCCGCGUAGUC
This 422-nucleotide ribosomal RNA is filed under the name uncultured archaeon. RNAcentral describes it as "partial 16S ribosomal RNA". It matches the Rfam family "Archaeal small subunit ribosomal RNA", at positions 323 to 746 of the family's 1478-position model. The record is from RNAcentral.